This 160-nucleotide small nuclear RNA is filed under the name Carlito syrichta (Philippine tarsier). Its description in RNAcentral is "U1 spliceosomal RNA (ENSTSYG00000031055.1)". It matches the Rfam family "U1 spliceosomal RNA". Rfam says of the family: U1 is a small nuclear RNA (snRNA) component of the spliceosome (involved in pre-mRNA splicing). Lineage: Eukaryota; Metazoa; Chordata; Mammalia; Primates; Tarsiidae. The record is from Rfam by way of RNAcentral.
GGACUUCCUCGGUGGGCGGUGAUGCCGUGAUCACGUGGCUUCCCAGGGCAAGGCCUGUCCAUUGCCCUUCCACGUGCUGACCCCUGCGAUUUCCCCAAAGGUGGGAAACUGGACUGCAGAAUUUGUGGGGUAGGGGGUACUGCGUUUGUGCUUUCCCCAA